This 460-nucleotide ribosomal RNA is filed under the name uncultured bacterium. RNAcentral's name for it is "partial 16S ribosomal RNA". It matches the Rfam family "Bacterial small subunit ribosomal RNA", at positions 338 to 795 of the family's 1533-position model. The record is from RNAcentral.
CCUACGGGUGGCAGCAGUGAGGAAUAUUGGUCAAUGGACGAGAGUCUGAACCAGCCAAGUAGCGUGAAGGAUGACUGCCCUAUGGGUUGUAAACUUCUUUUAUAUGGGAAUAAAAUGUUCCACGUGUGGGAUUUUGUAUGUACCAUAUGAAUAAGGAUCGGCUAACUCCGUGCCAGCAGCCGCGGUAAUACGGAGGAUCCGAGCGUUAGCCGGCUUUAUUGGGUUUAAAGGGAGCGUAGGUGGAUUGUUAAGUCAGUUGUGAAAGUUUGCGGCUCAACCGUAAAAUUGCAGUUGAAACUGGCAGUCUUGAGUACAGUAGAGGUGGGCGGAAUUCGUGGUGUAGCGGUGAAAUGCUUAGAUAUCACGAAGAACUCCGAUUGCGAAGGCAGUUCACUGGACUGCAACUGACACUGAGGCUCGAAAGUGUGGGUAUCAAACAGGAUUAGAUACCCUUGUAGUC